CCGGAAGGGUCUUUCCUUCAUCACUGGCCUUCCAUCGUCCAUCCACGGGUGGAAGAACCAGUUUUUCUUCGUUUCAUUUUCUUCUCCCUGGGGCUUCCCUUCCCACUGGGGCGUGCCCCGAACCGAGGUGAACGAGAACAGCCGGGUGGAGGCGGACGACCGGGAGGACUUCCACCGACUCAAGGAUGUGUCGGUCUCAAAGCAG
RNAcentral lists this long non-coding RNA (205 nucleotides) under Elaeis guineensis (African oil palm). RNAcentral's name for it is "long non-coding RNA (EGUI_LNC072556)". Lineage: Eukaryota; Viridiplantae; Streptophyta; Magnoliopsida; Arecales; Arecaceae. The record is from RNAcentral.